This 253-nucleotide ribosomal RNA is filed under the name uncultured bacterium. RNAcentral describes it as "partial 16S ribosomal RNA". It matches the Rfam family "Bacterial small subunit ribosomal RNA", at positions 524 to 776 of the family's 1533-position model. The record is from RNAcentral.
UACGAAGGGUGCAAGCGUUACUCGGAAUUAUUGGGCGUAAAGCGUCCGUAGGUGGGUGAGGAAGUCUGCUGUUAAAGAGUGAGGCUUAACCUCAUAAGGGCAGUGGAAACUCUUCGUCUAGAGUGCGACAGGGGCAAGGGGAAUUCCUAGUGUAGCGGUGAAAUGCGUAGAGAUUAGGAAGAACACCGGUGGCGAAAGCGCCUUGCUGGGUCUGCACUGACACUGAGGGACGAAAGCUAGGGGAGCGAAAGGG